This 329-nucleotide long non-coding RNA is filed under the name Dasypus novemcinctus (nine-banded armadillo). RNAcentral describes it as "lncRNA (ENSDNOG00000050707.1)". Lineage: Eukaryota; Metazoa; Chordata; Mammalia; Cingulata; Dasypodidae. The record is from RNAcentral.
GAAGCCACCUCAUUCAGUGCUCUCCACGCAGGAAUCUCCCAGGGCUGCAAACUUCCUUCAGAUCUCUGCCCUACAGCUUGGCUUCAUUGAAAAGAGAAGAACUGGAAGUAAAAGACAGUUACAAGCUCUAGUUAAAGAGAAGAUGGGAAUGCCAAGUGGACUCUGCUUCCCUCAAAAGGACUUUCUUCUAUCUCCCAGCUCCAUUCCAGACUCAGGAGACUGAAUGGCCAAAGUCUUCAUUUGCUGGUAUUGUCAAAUCCCCACCCCACCCCACUGCCACCUUAGUUCCUAAAUAAAGUUUAUUUGUGCCUUCAUUGCUUGGCCCUAUU